Nasonia vitripennis (jewel wasp) is the source of this 244-nucleotide long non-coding RNA. RefSeq lists it as uncharacterized. The transcript is spliced from 2 exons. The record is from RefSeq and is a predicted model, not a curated record. Lineage: Eukaryota; Metazoa; Arthropoda; Insecta; Hymenoptera; Pteromalidae.
CUUAUCACAGACUUGAUUGGUGUGUAUGAAUUUAAACCCAGCGAUCAAUUUUACAAGAAUUUUACGACUACAUACUGUGAAAAGCAUGCUGUAACACAGCCACUUUGCAAGAACGUUGUUUUUAUGAUUACCGGAUAUAAUGAGGAUCAAUUGGAUACCGAACUUCUCCCAGCGAUUUUGGCUCAUAUUCCCGCUGGAGCCAGUGUGAAUCAAUUUGUCCAUUACGCCCAGAUAAUCAAAUCAG